Molecule: transfer RNA, 76 nt
Filed under: Aminivibrio pyruvatiphilus
Lineage: Bacteria; Thermotogati; Synergistota; Synergistia; Synergistales; Aminobacteriaceae
Also listed under: 5 other names
Description: tRNA-Thr
Rfam family: tRNA
About the family: Transfer RNA (tRNA) molecules are approximately 80 nucleotides in length. Their secondary structure includes four short double-helical elements and three loops (D, anti-codon, and T loops). Further hydrogen bonds mediate the characteristic L-shaped molecular structure. tRNAs have two regions of fundamental functional importance: the anti-codon, which is responsible for specific mRNA codon recognition, and the 3' end, to which the tRNAs corresponding amino acid is attached (by aminoacyl-tRNA synthetases). tRNAs cope with the degeneracy of the genetic code in two manners: having more than one tRNA (with a specific anti-codon) for a particular amino acid; and 'wobble' base-pairing, i.e. permitting non-standard base-pairing at the 3rd anti-codon position.
Source: RNAcentral
GCCGGUGUAGCUCAGUUGGCAGAGCAGCGCACUCGUAAUGCGCAGGUCUCCAGUUCAAGUCUGGACACCGGCUCCA